GAUGAACGCUGGCGGCGUGCCUAAUACAUGCAAGUCGAGCGAACGGACGAGAAGCUUGCUUCUCUGAUGUUAGCGGCGGACGGGUGAGUAACACGUGGAUAACCUACCUAUAAGACUGGGAUAACUUCGGGAAACCGGAGCUAAUACCGGAUAAUAUUUUGAACCGCAUGGUUCAAAAGUGAAAGACGGUCUUGCUGUCACUUAUAGAUGGAUCCGCGCUGCAUUAGCUAGUUGGUAAGGUAACGGCUUACCAAGGCAACGAUGCAUAGCCGACCUGAGAGGGUGAUCGGCCACCUGGGAACUGGGACACGGUCCAGAGUACUACGGGAGGCAGCAGAAGGGAAUCGGACGCAAUGGGCGAAAGCCUGACGGAGCAACGGCGCGUGAGUGAUGAAGGUCUUCGGAUCGUAAAACUCUGUUAUUAGGGAAGAACAGAUGUGGAAGUAACUGUGCACAUAUUGACGGUACCUAAUCAGAAAGCCACGGCUAACUACGUG
Molecule: ribosomal RNA, 497 nt
Filed under: uncultured bacterium
Lineage: Bacteria
Description: partial 16S ribosomal RNA
Rfam family: Bacterial small subunit ribosomal RNA
Source: RNAcentral